RNAcentral lists this ribosomal RNA (425 nucleotides) under uncultured bacterium. RNAcentral's name for it is "bacterial SSU rRNA". It matches the Rfam family "Bacterial small subunit ribosomal RNA", at positions 356 to 773 of the family's 1533-position model. The record is from RNAcentral.
GGGGAAUAUUGGACAAUGGGGGAAACCCUGAUCCAGCGACGCCGCGUGGGUGAAGAAGGCCUGCGGGUUGUAAAGCCCUUUCGGUAGGGACGAAAGCUCUCGACCUAACACGUCGGGAGGUUGACUUAACCUACAAAAGAAGCACCGGCUAACUCUGUGCCAGCAGCCGCGGUAAUACAGAGGGUGCGAGCGUUAAUCGGAAUUACUGGGCGUAAAGCGCACGUAGGCGGCUUGGUAUGUCGGGUGUGAAAUCCCCGGGCUCAACCUGGGAACUGCAUCCGAAACUGCCUUGCUCGAGUAUGGGAGAGGGAAGCGGAAUUUCCGGUGUAGCGGUGAAAUGCGUAGAUAUCGGAAGGAACAUCAGUGGCGAAGGCGGCUUCCUGGACCAAUACUGACGCUCAGGUGCGAAAGCGUGGGGAGCAAAC